Molecule: unclassified non-coding RNA, 425 nt
Filed under: soil metagenome
Description: partial contains 5.8S ribosomal RNA, internal transcribed spacer 2, and large subunit ribosomal RNA
Rfam family: 5.8S ribosomal RNA (bases 1-120)
Source: RNAcentral
GAUGAAGAACGCAGUGAAAUGCGAUAAGUAGUGUGAAUUGCAGAAUUCCGUGAAUCAUCGAAUCUUUGAACGCACAUUGCGCCUUCUGGUAUUCCGGAAGGCAUGCCUGUUCGAGAGUCAUUAACAACCGUUUCGAUCCCUUUCUUUCAGAAAUUACAAAGAGGAAAAGGGUUUGGUUAUGGUGGAGGAGGGAAAGGGAGCGUUUAGCCUGUAAAAAAAGAGGCUGUGUUCCGCCUCCCCCCCAAAAUUGUACAGGCGGUCGUGUGCGCCCACGCAUCGAGGUGUUGUAAAAGCUGCCACGGCACUUUUCACCUGUGCAGUGCGAGAUUGGCCAGCCGGUUUAAAAACCCCUCCACACAAUCAAAGGUUGACCUCGGAUCAGGUAGGGAUACCCGCUGAACUUAAGCAUAUCAAUAAGCGGAGGA